UACGGGGGGGGCAAGCGUUGUUCGGAAUUACUGGGCGUAAAGGGCUCGUAGGUGGCCAACUAAGUCAGACGUGAAAUCCCUCGGCUUAACCGGGGAACUGCAUCUGAUACUGGAUGGCUUGAGAUUGGGAGAGGGACGCGGAAUUCCAGGUGUAGCGGUGAAAUGCGUAGAUAUCUGGAGGAACACCGGUGGCGAAGGCGGCGUCCUGGACCAACACUGACACUGAGGAGCGAAAGCCAGGGGAGCAAACGGG
RNAcentral lists this ribosomal RNA (253 nucleotides) under uncultured bacterium. Its description in RNAcentral is "partial 16S ribosomal RNA". It matches the Rfam family "Bacterial small subunit ribosomal RNA", at positions 524 to 776 of the family's 1533-position model. The record is from RNAcentral.